RNAcentral lists this transfer RNA (54 nucleotides) under Cyriopagopus schmidti (Chinese earth tiger). RNAcentral describes it as "Haplopelma schmidti (Chinese earth tiger) tRNA-Ser". Lineage: Eukaryota; Metazoa; Arthropoda; Arachnida; Araneae; Theraphosidae. The record is from RNAcentral.
GUUUUAGAAAUUUCUAUUUUGAAAGUGGAAUAUAAGGAUUGUCCUUCGAAAGUG